CGGAAUCAUUCACAAGCAAGGGCAGAGAAGAAGUGCAAAGGUUUGCCUUUCAAAUUUCCCCAAAGAUAAAGGACUGAAACUACUUUGGAAAAAACUCCUCGAAAAGUGUUUGGUCAGUGUUUGAAACAGCAAGCCUUAAAUUUUAUCCGUGAUGUCACAUAAAAAUGAAUUCAUAAAACUUUUUAAAGGGCACAUUUAAAAAUAUAUGGUUCCUUGGACUGUCUUCUACUUCUUAGUGGCAUAGGCGUUUCCCUUCAAGAUGACAAGUGGCUCAAACUCUUCAGAAUCUGGUUUGUCCUCAAAAAGGAAUCCUAAAACAUAUGACAACUACUUGAAAGAAUUGAACGAGGACUUAAAGUUAAGGAAGCAGGAACUUCUAGAGAUGCUGAAACCUCUGGAAGAUAAGAACAAUCUCUUAUUGCAGAAGUUAAUGGCUAACUUGGAGGAAAAGCAGAGGAGUCUGCAGAUCAUGAGGCAGAUCAUGGCCGGGAGGGGAGGUGAUGAAUCUUCAGUCGAGGAGCUUAUUAAGGAAGCCCAGGAGAUGAAGCAGAACCUGACAUUUGAGUCAGAAGAGCUCCGUGGUCAACAGAAAGCAUUACCAAAAAAGUCCAAGGCAGACAUGCAAGAUGGGAAGGCUCAGAAAUCCUCCUUAUCACUUUGGAAGGUCAAGAGUGAGUCAGAGAAACCAGACAUCGACAAAGUGGGAGACAUACGGAAGAAGAUCUUUCUUCCAUCAGGAAAAGCAACAGAGGAAAAUAAAAUGGGUCAAAUAUGAGGAGCAACCCAACAUCCUUCAGAGAAUCCCAGGAUCAAAGAGCUACAAGAAGGAACUAGAGAAAGUCAUAUGAUGAUGUAGGACAGAGGCUCUUUUUUCUGAAGUCAAUGCCAGAUGAAGCUCUGAAGGAUUAGAAGGCUUUCACUACAUUUGCUUUGGACAGAUGCGAAGACUAGAAUAUUGACAUCUUAUCAAAUAUUAUCAAAAUUCCAGCAAAAUUCUUCACAGAACUAGAAAAAAAAGAAACAUGAAAUUCAAGGAGAAGCAUAAAAGACUCUGAGUAGUCAAAGCAAGUCUAAGCAGAGUGGGCAAUGCUAAAAGUAACAGGAUAUCUGAUUUAGGAAGCCACAGUAACAAACCAAUAUUGUAUCAUCAUAGAAACAGUCACAUAGACCAAUAAAUACAACGUCAGAGGACUCAGAAAUACAUCCAAAUAUCUACGGUCAUCUGACUCUUGACAAAGGUACCCAAAGCAUCUGUUAGAAGAUACCUCCUCAAAAGAUGGGGCUAUGAAGACUAGAUAGCACACGAACAAGACUGAAAUGACCUCUUUCUCUACAUUCUCUGCAUAAAAAUCAAUUAAAAAUGGAUCAAAAAUUGACAUGCCUGAAGAAAUCAUAUGGAAAACACCUGAAGAUACAGAAACAGCCAAUGGCUUCCAAAAUAGGAUUUCAAUAACUCAGGAAGGAAUGGCAAGAAUUGACAAAUGAGAUGUAAUCGAAGUAAGCUUCUGCACAGUAAAGGAAACAAUUACUGGAGUAAAGGAAACUGCAUGCAGAUAGGAGAAAGAAAUAAGUCCUGUUUUGCUGGACACGGUGGUACAUACCUGUAAACCAGAACUACUCAGGAAAUAGGAAGCAAGGAGAUUGAAUCUUCAAUAAAUGAAGUCAUAAUAGAACCCUUUCAAGAAAUCAAUCAGAAAUAACAGUUGGGAUAUCAGCAAGAUGGCUAACUGCAGGUUAUGAAAGCCUGUGCUCCUCAUCAAAAGGACCCAAACACAAACCACUAUUUGGGGAGUGUGUGUGUGUGUGUGUGUGUGUGUGUGUGUGUGUGUAUGGGAGGGGGUUACUGGCAGGGAGGUUGGAAAGUACAUAGUGGAACAGGAACGCUAAGGAUGACCCCACAGAAUAGAAUGAAAUAUCCUUUC
This is a non-coding RNA of Rattus norvegicus (Norway rat), 1922 nucleotides long. Lineage: Eukaryota; Metazoa; Chordata; Mammalia; Rodentia; Muridae. The record is from RefSeq and is a predicted model, not a curated record.